RNAcentral lists this ribosomal RNA (301 nucleotides) under uncultured bacterium. Its description in RNAcentral is "partial 16S ribosomal RNA". It matches the Rfam family "Bacterial small subunit ribosomal RNA", at positions 509 to 807 of the family's 1533-position model. The record is from RNAcentral.
CAGUAGCCGCGGUAAUACAGAGGGUGCGAGCGUUAAUCGGAUUUACUGGGCGUAAAGCGUGCGUAGGCGGCUUCUUAAGUCGGAUGUGAAAUCCCUGAGCUUAACUUGGGAACUGCAUUUGAAACUGGCAAGCUAGAGUCUUGUAGAGGGGGGUAGAAUUCCAGGUGUAGCGGUGAAAUGCGUAGAGAUCUGGAGGAAUACCGAUGGCGAAGGCAGCCAUCUGGCCUAAUACUGACGCUGAGGUACGAAAGCAUGGGGAGCAAACAGGAUUAGAUACCCCGGUAGUCCCUGUCUCUUAUAC